GAUGAACGCUGGCGGCGUGCCUAAUACAUGCAAGUAGAACGCUGAAGGAGGAGCUUGCUCUUCUGGAUGAGUUGCGAACGGGUGAGUAACGCGUAGGUAACCUGCCUGGUAGCGGGGGAUAACUAUUGGAAACGAUAGCUAAUACCGCAUGACAACAGUUAUUGCAUGAUAACUGUUUAAAAGGGGCAACUGCUCCACUACCAGAUGGACCUGCGUUGUAUUAGCUAGUUGGUGAGGUAACGGCUCACCAAGGCGACGAUACAUAGCCGACCUGAGAGGGUGAUCGGCCACACUGGGACUGCAACACGGCCCAGACUCCUACGGGAGGCAGCAGUAGGGAAUCUUCGGAAAUGGACGGAAGUCUGACCGAGCAACGCCGCGUGAGUGAAGAAGGUUUUCGGAUCGUAAAGCUCUGUUGUAAGAGAAGAACGAGUGUGAGAGUGGAAAGUUCACACUGUGACGGUAUCUUACCAGAAAGGGACGGCUAACUACGUG
This 495-nucleotide ribosomal RNA is filed under the name uncultured bacterium. RNAcentral's name for it is "partial 16S ribosomal RNA". It matches the Rfam family "Bacterial small subunit ribosomal RNA", at positions 28 to 507 of the family's 1533-position model. The record is from RNAcentral.